AGCAGUCGCCACGGUAAUACGAAGGGGGCUAGCGUUGCUCGGAAUUACUGGGCGUAAAGGGCGCGUAGGCGGACAGUUUAGUCAGAGGUGAAAGCCCAGGGCUCAACCUUGGAACUGCCUUUGAUACUGGCUGUCUUGAGUUCGGGAGAGGUGUGUGGAACGCCGAGUGUAGAGGUGAAAUUCGUAGAUAUUCGGCAGAACACCAGUGGCGAAGGCGACACACUGGCCCGAUACUGACGCUGAGGCGCGAAAGCGUGGGGAGCAAACAGGAUUAGAUACCCCAGUAGUCCCUGUCUCUUAUAC
Molecule: ribosomal RNA, 303 nt
Filed under: uncultured bacterium
Lineage: Bacteria
Description: partial 16S ribosomal RNA
Rfam family: Bacterial small subunit ribosomal RNA
Source: RNAcentral